CCCUACCACACCACACAGGCAGGAGGCAUGGCCUUGCCGUGACAAUAUAUCCACAGAUCUAUCUCCUAAGGACCCCUCCAUAAAGAAGGCCCUUACACUUCAGCAUUCACUUGAGUCUGUGUUGCUGAGGAAGUCUAAAGAAGUCCAACUGGAAACUAAUCAAGUGGAAGUGGCUGCAUCAGCGGUCUACCUGCAAGCUGUUGAAAAGGCGCAGGGCGACAAGGGCAGCAGCAACACAGGCCAGAACAGCCCUCUAGACGAUGGCGGCAAGGGCCAGAACGGCCCUCUGGACGACUACUCGGCAGGCGGCAACAACACUCUGGGCAAUAGUUCCUCUUAAGACAUUUCGGCUUUUACCUACUUUUAAUCUCUGGUGUUAAAUAAAACUGUCCCUGAAAUUGCCGUUUCCCUGUUUGUUGUGUUGUUGUGCAAAACCAAAGAAGUAGACUUUGUGACUUGCAAUGAUUGGCCAUGAACUUGUGUUGAAUGGAAUGGGCUCUUUGAAUCCCAGGCAGUCUAGACUUAUAGCAACUUACCUGGGGCUG
Molecule: long non-coding RNA, 545 nt
Organism: Gasterosteus aculeatus aculeatus (three-spined stickleback)
Lineage: Eukaryota; Metazoa; Chordata; Actinopteri; Perciformes; Gasterosteidae
Source: Ensembl